CCAUUAGAAAAUUUUUCCUCUUCUUUACAAAAGGGGGGAGCAACUAGGUCAACCCCGGGGGUAAGAUGUGGCGAGGAAGAGUUUUCAGGGGCCAUUUUGAGCAAUUCAAACUAUUUUUUAAAAUUGCUUUCAUGGAGUAUAAAUAUUAAAAAAAAUAAAAAUAUAUAAAUAUAAAUAUAAAAAUAAACAAAGGACGCUCGUUUUAAUCUUCUCAUUUGAAACAUCAGAAAAGGUGAGAAGAAUGGCUAAUUAUAGUUCUCUAGCACAGAGCGGGCACUCCGUUUAUUCUGGACCAUGGACACACCAUGCUCCAGCUAGAAUCUUCUCCGGAGAUGAACUUUAGCUGCUAUACUCAAAACGAUCGGCGCUAAUUGGCCAAUCGGAAAAAUGGGCAUACAAACCCAGACCACAGAAUGUAUUCCUAUUACAAAGUUCUUUUUAAAAAAUGAAGCAAUAUUCUAAUCCAAAGCAAAUGAAACGAUUUUGGCUACCCAUUACAUGCGGUAUUUGCCAGGAAUGGUGACCACCAAAGUUAGUACCUUGAAUUGCUGUAAUGCCUUCUUUCCGCGAAGAUCCAAGCUCUUCCCCAAAAUAAUCUCACUGAUCUGCACAAUCCCCCUGCAGAAUGCACGAGGAACACGUUUUACCAAGUGGAAAACCAAAGGACAGAGAGCCAAAGAUUUAUCUAGGAAUACGAUGGAUGGAUGUAGUGCAAAAGUCAGGGCUGAGCUCCCGGGCUCCCUUCAAGGUCGCCUCUCACGCCCUGGCCUCCUCCGCACUCGUUUGGACGGAGUUGCCUCCUACAGCACGCCAGAUCUGCCCCAGUCUGUUUUAGGGGGCGGGAUUUCGGGGGAACCUUUGCACGCGAUGUUGCCUUGUUUUCACUUAUUCCAGGAGCAUUUGGAGCAUGACAUCAAUGAGUCACUUUUGCGCUUCCUGGCCUCAUCCUGCUGUUGGAGAGAAGAUGGUAUUAUUGAUUUUGGCCAAGUCAUUUGUCUCUGCCUUCCGGAAAUCUUUGGGGAUCCUGGAGAAGACCCCCCCUACCCUGUAGUGUCUUGGGAGGUCACUUUGUGGUUUCUAAGUUCCAUGAUUCUAUCACCAUCACAGCACCAGCAACUGAUUGUGUGGCAAGGAGGAUAGAGUGCUGAACCUAAAGUCAGAAAGAACUAAAGUUGAAUCCUGUCUUCAACACUUCCUGGCUGAGUGACUAUGAAGAAGAAACUUCUCUCAUCUAUAACGUUUCCUCACCUGCAAAACAGACAAUAAUACCUAUAGAAAUUACCUCACAAGGUAAUUGCAACUCAUGUGAUAUGAUUUCAGACUUCAAAACACUGUAGAAAUGCUGGUUAUCAUAAUAAAUAAUUUAUAAUAUUUAAUAUCUUAAUAUAC
Monodelphis domestica (gray short-tailed opossum) is the source of this 1389-nucleotide long non-coding RNA. NCBI's taxonomy places the organism in Eukaryota, Metazoa, Chordata, Mammalia, Didelphimorphia, Didelphidae. The record is from Ensembl.